RNAcentral lists this ribosomal RNA (640 nucleotides) under uncultured cyanobacterium. Its description in RNAcentral is "bacterial SSU rRNA". It matches the Rfam family "Bacterial small subunit ribosomal RNA", at positions 66 to 748 of the family's 1533-position model. Lineage: Bacteria; Bacillati; Cyanobacteriota. The record is from RNAcentral.
ACGGGAGUAGCAAUACUCCAGUGGCGGACGGGUGAGUAACGCGUGAGAAUCUACCUUCUGGUCGGGGACAACCACUGGAAACGGUGGCUAAUACCGGAUAUGCCGCAACGUGAAAGAUUUAUCGCCAGAAGAGGAGCUCGCGUCUGAUUAGCUAGUUGGUAGGGUAAAGGCCUACCAAGGCAUCGAUCAGUAGCUGGUCUGAGAGGACGAUCAGCCACACUGGGACUGAGACACGGCCCAGACUCCUACGGGAGGCAGCAGUGGGGAAUUUUCCGCAAUGGGCGAAAGCCUGACGGAGCAAGACCGCGUGAGGGAAGAAGGCUCUUGGGUCGUAAACCUCUUUUGUUAGGGAAGAACACAAUGACGGUACCUAACGAAUCAGCCUCGGCUAACUCCGUGCCAGCAGCCGCGGUAAUACGGAGGAGGCAAGCGUUAUCCGGAAUUAUUGGGCGUAAAGCGUCCGCAGGUGGCGAUUCAAGUCUGCGGUCAAAGACUGGGGCUUAACCCUGGAAAGGCCGUGGAAACUGAAGAGCUAGAGUGCAGUAGGGGUAGAGGGAAUUCCCGGUGUAGCGGUGAAAUGCGUAGAGCUCGGGAAGAACAUCGGUGGCGAAAGCGCUCUGCUGGACUGCAACUGACACUC